RNAcentral lists this unclassified non-coding RNA (477 nucleotides) under Hevea brasiliensis (rubber tree). Lineage: Eukaryota; Viridiplantae; Streptophyta; Magnoliopsida; Malpighiales; Euphorbiaceae. The record is from RNAcentral.
GAUGAGCCUCGAAAUCCUUGUCCAGAAGUAUGUUCGAAGACUUGACAUCACGGUGGAUUAUGCGUGGGCUGCAGUCAUGGUGUAGAUAUGCCAGACCCUGUGCAGCUCCUAGAGCAAUUCUGAUUCGAGUAUCCCAGUCAAGCUUUUUCUUCUUUGAAGGGCCAUGUAGAAGAUCCCAGAGACUGCCGUUAUCCAUAUAGUCGUAGAAAAGUAGGUUGCCAGAAGGGGACAAUGAAAACCCUUGAAGGCAAACAAGAUUCCGAUGUUUGAUACUCCCAACCGUCUCAAGUUCAGUCUCAAAUUCCUUGAGGCUUUGCGGAUGAGAGUAGAGCCUUUUGAUGGCCACCGGCCUGCAGUUUUUCAGCACACAUUUGUAUACAGUGCUCGAUGCACCAUAUCCAAUUAUGUACUUCUCGUUCAAAUUCUCUGUCAUUCUCAUAAUGUCGUCAUAGACAUGAAGCGCCAUGUUCAUGUGGA